RNAcentral lists this ribosomal RNA (406 nucleotides) under uncultured bacterium. Its description in RNAcentral is "partial 16S ribosomal RNA". It matches the Rfam family "Bacterial small subunit ribosomal RNA", at positions 30 to 526 of the family's 1533-position model. The record is from RNAcentral.
AUUGAACGCUGGCGGCAGGCCUAACACAUGCAAGUCGAACGAGUGGCGGACGGGUGAGUAAUGUCUGGGAAACUGCCUGCUGGCGGGGGAUAACUACUGGAAACGGUAGCUAAUACCGCAUACCAUCAGAUGUGCCCAGAUGGGAUGAGCUGUUUGUGGGGGUAACGGCUCACCAAGGCGACGAUCCCUAGCUGGUCUGAGAGGAUGACCAGCCACACUGGAACUGGGACACGGUCCAGACGCCUACGGGAGGCAGCAGUGGGGAAUAGUGCACAAUGGGCGCAAGCCUGAUGCAGCCAUGCCGCGUGUAUGAAGAAGGCCUGCGGGUUGUAAAGUACUUUCAGCGGGGAGGCGUUACCCGCAGAAGAAGCACCGGCUAACUCCGUGCCAGCCGCCGCGGUAAUUC